RNAcentral lists this ribosomal RNA (348 nucleotides) under uncultured bacterium. RNAcentral describes it as "bacterial SSU rRNA". It matches the Rfam family "Bacterial small subunit ribosomal RNA", at positions 8 to 350 of the family's 1533-position model. The record is from RNAcentral.
AGAGUUUGAUCAUGGCUCAGGAUGAACGCUAGCUACAGGCUUAACACAUGCAAGUCGAGGGGCAGCAUGUUGGUUGCUUGCAACCAAUGAUGGCGACCGGCGCACGGGUGAGUAACGCGUAUCCAACCUACCCUUGUCCAUCGGAUAACCCGUCGAAAGGCGGCCUAACACGAUAUGCGGUUCACAGCAGGCAUCUAAGGUGAACGAAAUGUGAAGGAGAAGGAUGGGGAUGCGUCUGAUUAGCUUGUUGGCGGGGUAACGCCACCAAGGCUACGAUCAGUAGGGGUUCUGAGAGGAAGGUCCCCCANAUUGGAACUGAGACACGGUCCAAACUCCGUACGGGAGGCA